Long non-coding RNA from Rattus norvegicus (Norway rat), 987 nucleotides. RefSeq lists it as uncharacterized. The record is from RefSeq and is a predicted model, not a curated record. NCBI's taxonomy places the organism in Eukaryota, Metazoa, Chordata, Mammalia, Rodentia, Muridae.
GGAGCCACACGGAUACCCCCCCUCCUCCUCCCAAAGGGGGAAAAAUAAGGAUCAGGUGAAAAUGCUUGGAAAUUACAAUCGUAGACUACAAACAAAGAAUCCGAAGGCGGCCAGGAAGGCGCAGAAAGAUAGAUGACCAGACGUCAUCCUUGAAGUCACGGUCCUGGGCGUGGCCUAUGCAGAUGAGCGGCGCGCAGGGUCUGCCGGGUCCGCGCUCUCUGCGGAAACGCGAGGGAUUUCGUCGCGGCGAGGAAGGGAGCGCGGGUCCGCGGGUGUCAGAGGAGCACAGGGACCCAGAAGGGCAGCGAAAUGCACCUGGAAAAGAGACAGCAGGAGACUGGAGAGAUCUAUGGUUUGGCUGUUAAGAAUGAUGUUGCCAGAGAUGGAGCGAAUAGCUAAGCAAUAACCGGCCCAACAUGAGACCCAUCCCCUGGGCAAGCACCAAUCCCAGACACUAUUAAAGAUACUCUGUUGUGCUUGCAGACAGCAGCCUAGCAUUAAGUGCCCUCUGAGAGGUUCCGUACAGCAGUUGACUGAAAGAGAUGCAGAGACCCACAGAACCAUUGGAUGGAGCUCGGGGGAGUCUUGUGGAAGACUUGGAGAAAGGAUUGAGGCCCCUGAAGGGGAUAGGAACUGCACAUGAAGACCAACAGAAUCAACUAACCUGGAUUCUUGGCUCUGAACCACCAACCAAAGAGCAUAGACGCCUGGACUGAGCCCCACCCCAACAUGUAGUAAACGUGCAGCUCAGUCUCCAUGCGGGUUCCCCAAUAACGAGCAGGGGGCGUAUCGCUAAAGCCCGUUGGUGGAACACUCUCCUAAUGGGGUUACUUUGUCUGGCCUCAGUGGGAGAGGAUGAGCCUAGCACUGAAAAGACUUGAUGCGCCAGGGUGGGGGGAUGGGGUCCACUCUCUCAGAGGAGGAGGAGGAGUGGAGGGGGAAGAGAUUGGGAUAUAAAGUAAAUAAAAUAUUUUUUAAAAAGUUGAA